GAUGAACGCUGGCGGCGUGCCUAAUACAUGCAAGUCGAGCGAACAGAUAAGGAGCUUGCUCCUUUGACGUUAGCGGCGGACGGGUGAGUAACACGUGGAUAACCUACCUAUAAGACUGGGAUAACUUCGGGAAACCGGAGCUAAUACCGGAUAACAUAUUGAACCGCAUGGUUCAAUAGUGAAAGGCGGCUUUGCUGUCACUUAUAGAUGGAUCCGCGCCGUAUUAGCUAGUUGGUAAGGUAACGGCUUACCAAGGCAACGAUACGUAGCCGACCUGAGAGGGUGAUCGGCCACACUGGAACUGAGACACGGUCCAGACUCCUACGGGAGGCAGCAGUAGGGAAUCUUCCUCAAUGGGCGAAAGCCUGACGGAGCAACGCCGCGUGAGUGAUGAAGGUCUUCGGAUCGUAAAACUCUGUUAUCAGGGAAGAACAAAUGUGUAAGUAACUGUGCACAUCUUGACGGUACCUGAUCAGAAAGCCACGGCUAACUACGUG
RNAcentral lists this ribosomal RNA (497 nucleotides) under uncultured bacterium. Its description in RNAcentral is "partial 16S ribosomal RNA". It matches the Rfam family "Bacterial small subunit ribosomal RNA", at positions 28 to 507 of the family's 1533-position model. The record is from RNAcentral.